RNAcentral lists this ribosomal RNA (324 nucleotides) under uncultured bacterium. Its description in RNAcentral is "bacterial SSU rRNA". It matches the Rfam family "Bacterial small subunit ribosomal RNA", at positions 28 to 334 of the family's 1533-position model. The record is from RNAcentral.
GACGAACGCUGGCGGCGUGCUUAACACAUGCAAGUCGAACGGAGCACCCCUGAAGGAGUUUUCGGACAACGGAUGGGAAUGCUUAGUGGCGGACUGGUGAGUAACGCGUGAGGAACCUGCCUUCCAGAGGGGGACAACAGUUGGAAACGACUGCUAAUACCGCAUGAUACGUUGGAGCCGCAUGACUCCGACGUCAAAGAUUUAUCGCUGGAAGAUGGCCUCGCGUCUGAGUAGCUAGUUGGUGAGGUAACGGCCCACCAAGGCGACGAUCAGUAGCCGGACUGAGAGGUUGGCCGGCCACAUUGGGACUGAGAUACGGCCCAG